GCCCCGGUAAACGGCGGCCGUAACUAUAACGGUCCUAAGGUAGCGAAAUUCCUUGUCGGGUAAGUUCCGACCUGCACGAAUGGCGUAAUGAUGGCCAGGCUGUCUCCACCCGAGACUCAGUGAAAUUGAACUCGCUGUGAAGAUGCAGUGUACCCGCGGCAAGACGGAAAGACCCCGUGAACCUUUACUAUAGCUUGACACUGAACAUUGAGCCUUGAUGUGUAGGAUAGGUGGGAGGCUUUGAAGUGUGGACGCCAGUCUGCAUGGAGCCGACCUUGAAAUACCACCCUUUAAUGUUUGAUGUUCUAACGUUGGCCCGUAAUCCGGGUUGCGGACAGUGUCUGGUGGGUAGUUUGACUGGGGCGGUCUCCUCCUAAAGAGUAACGGAGGAGCACGAAGGUUGGCUAAUCCUGGUCGGACAUCAGGAGGUUAGUGCAAUGGCAUAAGCCAGCUUGACUGCGAGCGUGACGGCGCGAGCAGGUGCGAAAGCAGGUCAUAGUGAUCCGGUGGUUCUGAAUGGAAGGGCCAUCGCUCAACGGAUAAAAGGUACUCCGGGGAUAACAGGCUGAUACCGCCCAAGAGUUCAUAUCGACGGCGGUGUUUGGCACCUCGAUGUCGGCUCAUCACAUCCUGGGGCUGAAGUAGGUCCCAAGGGUAUGGCUGUUCGCCAUUUAAAGUGGUACGCGAGCUGGGUUUAGAACGUCGUGAGACAGUUCGGUCCCUAUCUGCCGUGGGCGCUGGAGAACUGAGGGGGGCUGCUCCUAGUACGAGAGGACCGGAGUGGACGCAUCACUGGUGUUCGGGUUGUCAUGCCAAUGGCACUGCCCGGUAGCUAAAUGCGGAAGAGAUAAGUGCUGAAAGCAUCUAAGCACGAAACUUGCCCCGAGAUGAGUUCUCCCUGAGACUUAGAGUCUCCUGAAGGAACGUUGAAGACGACGACGUUGAUAGGCCGGGUGUGUAAGCGCAGCGAUGCGUUGAGCUAACCGGUACUAAUGAACCGUGAGG
This 1005-nucleotide ribosomal RNA is filed under the name Escherichia coli. RNAcentral's name for it is "partial 23S ribosomal RNA". It matches the Rfam family "Bacterial large subunit ribosomal RNA", at positions 1917 to 2916 of the family's 2925-position model. The record is from RNAcentral. Lineage: Bacteria; Pseudomonadati; Pseudomonadota; Gammaproteobacteria; Enterobacterales; Enterobacteriaceae.